UAAUAAGUGUUUGUGGCACUUCUUAAAUCCAUAUCCACCUUGUGUGCAAUGUCAGCCGUUUUCUUUAUGAAAGCGGCCAAACAUCAACUUAUUUUUUAGCUGUCUGUCUGAAAACUAUUAUGAAUAAACAAUUCAAAUA
Molecule: unclassified non-coding RNA, 139 nt
Filed under: soil metagenome
Description: partial internal transcribed spacer 1
Source: RNAcentral